This 344-nucleotide long non-coding RNA is filed under the name Homo sapiens (human). RNAcentral describes it as "long intergenic non-protein coding RNA 2663". The record is from RNAcentral. Lineage: Eukaryota; Metazoa; Chordata; Mammalia; Primates; Hominidae.
UUGUGAGAAGAGAGAGCAACACCAGCAAUGCACAUGCAAAGAGGAAAGGCCCUGCAAGGAUGCUAAGAACGAGGACGGCCAUCCGCCCACCAAGGAGAGAAGUAUCAGGAGGAACAAACCGGCCAACACCUUGAUCUUGGACUUCCAGCCUCCAGAACUGUCCGCAGCUUGGGCUACCUUCCAGCAUAAAGUCACUAAAGAUGUGCCGGGCAUGAUGAAGGAAGAAAGCGACUACAUGCUGAAGGAGAUGGUGCGGGGACUCGCUAGUACCUAUUGGCAGGACCUGGGGAACUUUGGUGGGUGCUUGAUAAUGGGGACUGGAAUAAAAACUGGCUAAGCAAAAA